AUACUUACCUGGCGGGGGAGAUACCGUGAUCACGAAGAUGGUUUUCCCAGGGCGAGGCUUAUCCAUUGCACUCUGGAUGUGCUGACCCCUGCGAUUUCUAAAAUGUGGGAAACUCAACUGUGUAAUUUGUGAUAGUGGGGGAUGGUGUUCGUGCUUUCCCCUG
Molecule: small nuclear RNA, 163 nt
Filed under: Tupaia belangeri (northern tree shrew)
Lineage: Eukaryota; Metazoa; Chordata; Mammalia; Scandentia; Tupaiidae
Description: U1 spliceosomal RNA (ENSTBEG00000018751.1)
Rfam family: U1 spliceosomal RNA
About the family: U1 is a small nuclear RNA (snRNA) component of the spliceosome (involved in pre-mRNA splicing). Its 5' end forms complementary base pairs with the 5' splice junction, thus defining the 5' donor site of an intron.
Source: RNAcentral